UCUUCCCUCUGGCGGCGUGCCUAAUACAUGCAAGUCGAGCGAACAGACGAGGAGCUUGCUCCUCUGACGUUAGCGGCGGACGGGUGAGUAACACGUGGAUAACCUACCUAUAAGACUGGGAUAACUUCGGGAAACCGGAGCUAAUACCGGAUAAUAUAUUGAACCGCAUGGUUCAAUAGUGAAAGACGGUUUUGCUGUCACUUAUAGAUGGAUCCGCGCCGCAUUAGCUAGUUGGUAAGGUAACGGCUUACCAAGGCGACGAUGCGUAGCCGACCUGAGAGGGUGAUCGGCCACACUGGAACUGAGACACGGUCCAGACUCCUACGGGAGGCAGCAGUAGGGAAUCUUCCGCAAUGGGCGAAAGCCUGACGGAGCAACGCCGCGUGAGUGAUGAAGGUCUUCGGAUCGUAAAACUCUGUUAUUAGGCAAGAACAAAUGUGUAAGUAACUAUGCACGUCUUGACGGUACCUAAUCAGAAAGCCACGGCUAACUACGUG
This 497-nucleotide ribosomal RNA is filed under the name uncultured bacterium. Its description in RNAcentral is "partial 16S ribosomal RNA". It matches the Rfam family "Bacterial small subunit ribosomal RNA", at positions 36 to 507 of the family's 1533-position model. The record is from RNAcentral.